CGUGUAGGCGGCAAUACAAGUCUGGUGUGAAAUACUCCGGCUCAACCGGAGAGACGCGCUGGAAACUGUAUUGCUUGAGUUUAGGAGGGGGAGCUGGAAUUCCAGGUGUAGGGGUGAAAUCUGUAGAGAUCUGGAAGAACACCGGAGGCGAAGGCGAGCUCCUGGCCAUAGACUGACGCUGAGGCGCGAAAGCGUGGGGAGCGAACAGGAUUAGAUACCCUGGUAGUCC
RNAcentral lists this ribosomal RNA (229 nucleotides) under uncultured bacterium. Its description in RNAcentral is "partial 16S ribosomal RNA". It matches the Rfam family "Bacterial small subunit ribosomal RNA", at positions 568 to 796 of the family's 1533-position model. The record is from RNAcentral.